RNAcentral lists this ribosomal RNA (253 nucleotides) under uncultured Lactobacillus sp. RNAcentral's name for it is "partial 16S ribosomal RNA". It matches the Rfam family "Bacterial small subunit ribosomal RNA", at positions 524 to 776 of the family's 1533-position model. Lineage: Bacteria; Bacillati; Bacillota; Bacilli; Lactobacillales; Lactobacillaceae. The record is from RNAcentral.
UACGUAGGGGGCAAGCGUUAUCCGGAUUUACUGGGUGUAAAGGGAGCGUAGACGGCGUGCCAAGUCUGAUGUGAAAGCCCACGGCUUAACCGUGGAGGGUCAUUGGAAACUGGUUGACUUGAGUGCAGAAGAGGGAAGUGGAAUUCCAUGUGUAGCGGUGGAAUGCGUAGAUAUAUGGAAGAACACCAGUGGCGAAGGCGGCUCUCUGGUCUGCAACUGACGCUGAGGCUCGAAAGCAUGGGUAGCGAACAGG